UACGUAGGGUGCAGGCGUUAAUCGGAAUUACUGGGCGUAAAGCGUGCGCAGGCGGUUUGCUAAGAGAGAUGUGAAAUCCCCGGGCUUAACCUGGGAACUGCGUUUCUAACUGGCAAGCUAGAGUGUGGCAGAGGGGGGUGGAAUUCCACGUGUAGCAGUGAAAUGCGUAGAGAUGUGGAGGAACACCGAUGGCGAAGGCAGCCCCCUGGGCUAACACUGACGCUCAUGCACGAAAGCGUGGGGAGCAAACAGG
This 253-nucleotide ribosomal RNA is filed under the name uncultured bacterium. RNAcentral's name for it is "partial 16S ribosomal RNA". It matches the Rfam family "Bacterial small subunit ribosomal RNA", at positions 524 to 776 of the family's 1533-position model. The record is from RNAcentral.